UAGGGCCAUAUCAUGUUGAAACACCAGUUCUCAUGCAAUCACCAAAGUUAGGCAACAUUGAGCCUGGUCAUUAUCGAGAUGGAUGACCACUUGGAAAUACCAGGUGCUGUAAG
Molecule: non-coding RNA, 113 nt
Organism: Acanthosepion pharaonis
Lineage: Eukaryota; Metazoa; Mollusca; Cephalopoda; Sepiida; Sepiidae
Source: the annotation of a GenBank genome assembly